GAUGAACGCUAGCGGCAGGCUUAACACAUGCAAGUCGAGGGGCAGCAUAAUGAAGUAGCAAUACGGAUUUGACGGCGACCGGCGCACGGGUGCGUAACGCGUAUGCAACCUACCCUGUAACAGGGGGAUAACACUGAGAAAUUGGUACUAAUACCCCAUAACAUCACUGAAGGCAUCUUUGGUGGUUGAAAGUUCCGGCGGUUACAGAUGGGCAUGCGUUGUAUUAGCUAGUUGGAGAGGUAACGGCUCACCAAGGCUACGAUACAUAGGGGGACUGAGAGGUUAACCCCCCACAUUGGUACUGAGACACGGACCAAACUCCUACGGGAGGCAGCAGUGAGGAAUAUUGGUCAAUGGUCGGAAGACUGAACCAGCCAAGUAGCGUGAAGGAUGAAGGUUUUAUGGAUUGUAAACUUCUUUUAUACGGGAAUAAAACCUCCCACGUGUGGGAGCUUGUAUGUACCGUAUGAAUAAGCAUCGGCUAACUCCGUG
Molecule: ribosomal RNA, 492 nt
Filed under: uncultured bacterium
Lineage: Bacteria
Description: bacterial SSU rRNA
Rfam family: Bacterial small subunit ribosomal RNA
Source: RNAcentral